CUUGACGACCAUAGAGCAUUGGAACCACCUGAUCCCAUCCCGAACUCAGUAGUGAAACGAUGUAUCG
This 67-nucleotide ribosomal RNA is filed under the name Pseudomonas syringae. The record is from RNAcentral. RNAcentral also lists the same sequence under 1 other name. Lineage: Bacteria; Pseudomonadati; Pseudomonadota; Gammaproteobacteria; Pseudomonadales; Pseudomonadaceae.